UACGAAGGGUGCAAGCGUUACUCGGAAUUACUGGGCGUAAAGCGUGCGUAGGUGGUUCGUUAAGUCUGAUGUGAAAGCCCUGGGCUCAACCUGGGAAUGGCAUUGGAUACUGGCGACCUAGAGUGCGGUAGAGGGGUGUGGAAUUCACGGUGUAGCAGUGAAAUGCGUAGAUAUCGGGAGGAACAUCUGUGGCGAAGGCGACACCCUGGACCAGCACUGACACUGAGGCACGAAAGCGUGGGGAGCAAACAGG
RNAcentral lists this ribosomal RNA (253 nucleotides) under uncultured bacterium. RNAcentral describes it as "partial 16S ribosomal RNA". It matches the Rfam family "Bacterial small subunit ribosomal RNA", at positions 524 to 776 of the family's 1533-position model. The record is from RNAcentral.